Molecule: ribosomal RNA, 901 nt
Filed under: Escherichia coli
Lineage: Bacteria; Pseudomonadati; Pseudomonadota; Gammaproteobacteria; Enterobacterales; Enterobacteriaceae
Description: partial 23S ribosomal RNA
Rfam family: Bacterial large subunit ribosomal RNA
Source: RNAcentral
CUCGCUGUGAAGAUGCAGUGUACCCGCGGCAAGACGGAAAGACCCCGUGAACCUUUACUAUAGCUUGACACUGAACAUUGAGCCUUGAUGUGUAGGAUAGGUGGGAGGCUUAGAAGUGUGGACGCCAGUCUGCAUGGAGCCGACCUUGAAAUACCACCCUUUAAUGUUUGAUGUUCUAACGUUGACCCGUAAUCCGGGUUGCGGACAGUGUCUGGUGGGUAGUUUGACUGGGGCGGUCUCCUCCUAAAGAGUAACGGAGGAGCACGAAGGUUGGCUAAUCCUGGUCGGACAUCAGGAGGUUAGUGCAAUGGCAUAAGCCAGCUUGACUGCGAGCGUGACGGCGCGAGCAGGUGCGAAAGCAGGUCAUAGUGAUCCGGUGGUUCUGAAUGGAAGGGCCAUCGCUCAACGGAUAAAAGGUACUCCGGGGAUAACAGGCUGAUACCGCCCAAGAGUUCAUAUCGACGGCGGUGUUUGGCACCUCGAUGUCGGCUCAUCACAUCCUGGGGCUGAAGUAGGUCCCAAGGGUAUGGCUGUUCGCCAUUUAAAGUGGUACGCGAGCUGGGUUUAGAACGUCGUGAGACAGUUCGGUCCCUAUCUGCCGUGGGCGCUGGAGAACUGAGGGGGGCUGCUCCUAGUACGAGAGGACCGGAGUGGACGCAUCACUGGUGUUCGGGUUGUCAUGCCAAUGGCACUGCCCGGUAGCUAAAUGCGGAAGAGAUAAGUGCUGAAAGCAUCUAAGCACGAAACUUGCCCCGAGAUGAGUUCUCCCUGACCCUUUAAGGGUCCUGAAGGAACGUUGAAGACGACGACGUUGAUAGGCCGGGUGUGUAAGCGCAGCGAUGCGUUGAGCUAACCGGUACUAAUGAACCGUGAGGCUUAACCUUACAACGCCGAAGCUGUU